This 66-nucleotide transfer RNA is filed under the name Virpazaria ripkeni. RNAcentral describes it as "tRNA-Thr". The record is from RNAcentral. Lineage: Eukaryota; Metazoa; Mollusca; Gastropoda; Stylommatophora; Spelaeodiscidae.
UAUUAAUAUAAUUUAAACAUAUAAAAUAUUGAUUUUGUAAAUCAAAUUUGGUUACCCUGUUAAUAA